AAGAAGGAGGCACCCAAAGGAGGUUUGCUAGGGGUGCUCCUGGGCGAGGUGCGCCAUCUGCAAGGGGGUGGGGGCGGAGAAGACGGGGUGGGAAAGGCAGGAAUAGUGCUAAUAAGGGAAACCAGGGGUGGGGGUCUGGGACAGCAGGUUGGCCCAGCCGGGUUUAGGGACAUUGUCUGUCGCGGUUGGGUCAGGCCUGAUGUAAGGUGACAGGGCGAUUGCUUCAGCUGGCGGGAACCCUGAUGAUUGGGGUCGGUUGUCAGGUCAGCUUCUGAUUGGCCAAUGUGGGUCUUAGCCAGGUGGAAAGUCCCGCCCACAGCUGCCAUGGAAGGAAAGAGGGAAGGGACGGCUUUGAGCCAACACCACUGGGUCUCAGCUCAGAGAAGGCUCUAGGCCCUGCUGUGCAGCCCCACAGGGUGCAGAGGAGCUAAGAGGCCCCGUGGCCCUCGGUGGGUGGACGUGGUGAGCCCCUGCCCUGCCCUGCUGGGCUUCCCUGGGGCUGCUCUGGCUCCAGCUUAGGGCAUUGUGGCCAGUGGGCCCUGCACCUGUCCUGCCUGGUGACAGGGGCACCUUGAAAGAACAGGGCUCCUCAGGACCCUCUCGCAGCUGCCCACUUCACACCUGG
RNAcentral lists this long non-coding RNA (625 nucleotides) under Marmota monax (woodchuck). Lineage: Eukaryota; Metazoa; Chordata; Mammalia; Rodentia; Sciuridae. The record is from RNAcentral.